This 250-nucleotide long non-coding RNA is filed under the name Setaria viridis. Its description in RNAcentral is "long non-coding RNA (SVIR_LNC001887)". The record is from RNAcentral. Lineage: Eukaryota; Viridiplantae; Streptophyta; Magnoliopsida; Poales; Poaceae.
AAGAAACUAAGAAACAAAUUGAAGAAAUCAGGGAAGAAUUCUGGUCAACACUACAACAACAAAUACAAUUAGCAUUGUGGCAGGUAAUAACUUUGGACCACGGUUUUCCUUUUUUGGCUCCUCUAUUUUAGCUAAUGUUCCUUGUCUUUUGGGCUACACAGGCUAUCCCAGGGACCAUCGACACCACACCAAACGGACCAAGUAUCAACAACAACUUUAUUACACCACCACGUAUAGAGGAUGCAGCUAU